This 403-nucleotide ribosomal RNA is filed under the name bacterium. RNAcentral's name for it is "partial 16S ribosomal RNA". It matches the Rfam family "Bacterial small subunit ribosomal RNA", at positions 355 to 776 of the family's 1533-position model. The record is from RNAcentral.
UGGGGAAUCUUGCACAAUGGGGGAAACCCUGAUGCAGCGACGCCGCGUGAGCGAUGAAGGUUUUCGAAUCGUAAAGCUCUGUCCUAUGGGAAGAUAAUGACGGUACCAUAGGAGGAAGCCCCGGCUAACUACGUGCCAGCAGCCGCGGUAAUACGUAGGGGGCGAGCGUUGUCCGGAAUUACUGGGCGUAAAGGGUUCGCAGGCGGCAUGACAAGCCCGAUGUAAAAGGCGAAAGCUCAACUUUCGUAAGCAUCGGAAACUGUCAAGCUUGAGUGAAGGAGAGGCAAGUGGAAUUCCUAGUGUAGCGGUGGAAUGCGUAGAUAUUAGGAGGAAUACCGGUGGCGAAGGCGACUUGCUGGACUUCAACUGACGCUGAGGAACGAAAGCGUGGGUAGCAAACAGG